RNAcentral lists this long non-coding RNA (3356 nucleotides) under Sus scrofa (pig). RNAcentral's name for it is "lncRNA (ENSSSCG00000055164.1)". Lineage: Eukaryota; Metazoa; Chordata; Mammalia; Artiodactyla; Suidae. The record is from RNAcentral.
AGGAGAGUGAGGUGGCAUUCACAAAUGUGAAUGUGAGUAAUGUAAGUUUGUCAGACCUUCUGCUUCUAAAAAAACAGAUUUUGGUGAUAGAAUUAGAUAAGGUUUUAUUUCAAACUUGCAUAACUCAGCAUUAUGCCAUGAAAGUCUUCAUGCUUUAAUUUCCUGCUAAAUUUCAUGGUCCAAAAAAAAUCAACAGAUGCUGAAGAAAAUGAUAUUUAUGUAAAAGAGCUUCUAAUUCAAUAUGAAAAUAAUAAAAGAAGACCUAUUCAGGCAACUCAAAAAAUCUGGGCAGAAUUUUUUUGAAGUCCAGGAAUUUCUCCUAAAGGGUACCAGCAUGUUACAGUGACCAGAUGACACUGAUGCAGUGCUCCCACACGCAGACACCUCUUCCCCAACAGCAGGCAUGUUCCUCACAACUUUUGGCUUCCCCCUCUUCACAUCAAUUUAACUGCGAUUGGUACUUUUGCUACCGUGACCCCAACUUUGAUUUUUAUCCACCCUAAACGAUUACACUUAAGAAAAAGAUUUCGGAGUUCCUGUCGUGGCUCAGUGGUUAACGAAUCCAACUGGGAACCAUGAGGUUGUGGGUUCAGUCUCUGGCCUUGCUCAGUGGGUUAAGGAUCCGACAUUGGGGUGAGCUGUGCUGUAGGUCGCAGACAUGGCUCGGAUCCCACGUUGCUGUGGCUCUGGCGUAGGCCAGGGGCUACAGCUCCGAUUCGACCCCUAGCCUGGGAACCUCCAUAUUCCACAGAUGCAGCCCUAGAAAAGACAAAAAGAAAAAAGAAAAAAGAAAAAUAUUUCAAGGAAAUUCCCAUUAUGGCUCAGUGGGUUAUGAAUCCGACUAGUAUCCAUGAGGGUGGGGGUUCCAUUCCUGGCCUCACUCAGUGAGCUAAUGAUCCAGCGUUGCCAUGGCAUGUGGGCGGCUGCAGCUCUGAUUUGACUGCGAGCCUGGGAACUUACAUGUGCCACAGGUACAGCCCUAAAAAACAAACAAACAAACAAACAAACAAACAAAAACCCUAAAAAAAAAGAAAAAAAAUUUCAAAAACAUGGAUAUCCCUCAGCUAGCCAUCUUACAAAUAAGUGCCACUGAACUCAAAGCAAACUUGAAGAGAGUAUGAACAUCCAUAUGUGGUUUUGGAUACAUAAAAAAAGCACUCCAAAACUUAGUGCUUAGAACAACCACAAUCAUCAUUUUAUCCCUAAAGAUACCGUGAGUUAACUGGGCUCAGCUAGGCGGUUCUGCUCCAUGUGCUGUCAGCUGGGGCUGCACUCCUCCAGGGACCGGACAAGGGAGACUCCAAGAUGCCUCCUUCACAUGUUGCUGGAAGCUCAGCUGGGGGCCGUUGACUGAGUACCUGGUUUCUUCUCCACAUAGUCUCUCCCUGUUGCUUGGGCUUCUUGCAGGGUUCCAGGAAGUAUCAUUACUCAGCAUCACUUCUGUCACAUUCUAUUACCAAAAUAUAUCAGGAUAAACUCAGUACAAGAAGGGAAAAUGACUGUCUCUUCACUAUCCAUCACACUAUCCAAAUCCAUCAUACCUGUGGAGGAGAAACAAAAAGGUUUUAUUUGGGGGCACUAAUUCCAUUGUUGUUUAUAAAGCACCUUCACUCAGUCAACACAAUCCUAAUAGAGACCUAAGGGACUGACUCACUCCUUUUGGAUCUUCUUCAAGGCAAGAACUGAGCGAGAACUUCUCCAAUUACUCAGGUUGCGUUCUGACUUCAAGGGGCCCCUUGGGGCUAUUUAAAGAAUCACGGGGCUCUGUGGGUUUGAAACUCCCUGUGGUUCAGAACCCUAUUUAGGAUUUACUUUGAACUGUGUAAAUGUCAACACAACCCAAAUAAUUGUCCAACAGAUUCUGCCCAAUGAAAGAAGUGUGGUCCACUUAGGGACAAUGGUUAAGAGGGAGAGGACUACAACCGAUUUCUCUGUCCGGGAGUUAAAAUUAUUUCUAAAAUCACCACUCAUUUUUAUUGUUUAUAUUCCACCAGAAUAUCAGACUAGAGAAAAUAGGGUUAUGGAUUCAGUUCCCAUGAAGUCUUUGCUUUCACCAUACCUCUAAGCCAAACUGGCCACAUUGUAAACCUUGACUCGCCAAUGGAUCUGAAAGAGAGGAUACAGUUCAGUGUGACUCCUUCCUUGACCCUGAGAACACCUCAAACUCAGGGGCCUUCUCUUGAAUGCCACUCAACUUCUUCCUACUUCUCUUCGUCCCAGUCUCCCUGGGAAAGAAAGUAACUGCUAUUGAAUUCUUACUCUGUAUCACCCACUCUGCUAGGAUUUUUUUUUUUCUUUUCUUUUUGUUAAACCAGUAUGUCGUAAUUCAAUCAUUAUCAUACAGGGUUUUGCACACUAGGAGCAUUCAAUAAAUAACUCUCAUUGAACUUGCUGAGAUAAGUUAUGAGGCUGGUGACCAACCGUGGCAUUAGCAAUGUUUCACUGGGUGAAAAAUCUCACACAUUUUUAAGGACAGCUUCCCUUGGUUCUCAAGUACAGAAGCUGGAUAUCCUUGCCAGAGCUAGAAAUAUAUUAUUUUGGGGCUUAUAUAAGCUCAGUAUAUGAUAUUACAUUUGUAAAACAUGGUCAUAAACCCUGAAGAAACAGAAGGCAUUUUCAUAAUUGUACUUUAACCCAUGUAAGAUAUUUUGUCAUGAAGGCAUUUUCGUAAUUGUGCUUUAACCCGUGUACGAUAUUUUGUCAUGAAAUAUCUGCACAAAAUACCAUUUGACCAUGAUUUGGAGAUGUUGCUUAUUGCAAGCAUUUUACAAGCUAAUUCUGGAUGAAUCUACUACUUUAGCACAUUUGCAGUUCUCAAAAAUAGGAAUUCCAUCCAGAAUGGAAUGGCAAUUUCCCCUCAGAGUGUGAGUGAUCAUUCUCAUUUUGUUUAAAUAUUUCAAUAUACCAAAUUUAAUCAAAGUGGGUUUAAUUAUCCCCUUCCUCUGUCCCCAUUUCCAGUUUUGCCUUCACCCCUGACUUCCACCAGAUUGUCUUUAGCAGAGUUUAACAGCCACACAUUUUUCUUUCUUAAAUUAUUGCCAAGAUAAUAUACCUUUGAGUUUCUAAGAAGCUAAGUAACCUUUUCAAAUUAGAAUAAAUCAUCUUUAGAAAUCAAAAGGCAUUUUAAUGACAGGACAACUCAUCUGGCUUUUGGAAACUGAGAUUACAUUAAAGAAAUCUACUGAUUGGAGUUCCCCCUGUGGUGCAGUGGGUUAAGAAUUCAAAUUCAGAGGCUCAGGUUACUGUGGAGGUUCAGGUUCCAUCUCCAGCCCAGCAAGGUGGGUUAAGGAUCUGGUGUUGCUGCAGCUCUGGCUUGGAUUCUAGCCCAGGAAUUUCCAUAUGCUGUGGGUGUGGCC